GACGAACGCUGGCGGCGUGCUUCAUACAUGCAAGUCGAACGAGAAUCUAGCUUCGGUUAGAGGAAAGUGGCGGACGGGUGAGUAAAAUGUAGAGAAUCUGCCCUAGAGAGGGGGACAACAGAGGGAAACUUCUGCUAAUACCCCAUAUGCGCGUAGCUGAGAUGCUAUUCGUGAAAACUCCGGUGCUCUAGGAUGAGUCUGCAUCUGAUUAGCUAGUUGGGGGUGUAAUGGACCACCAAGGCGACGAUCAGUAGCUGGUUUGAGAGGAUGAUCAGCCACAAUGGGACUGAGACACGGCCCAUACUCCUACGGGAGGCAGCAGUAGGGAAUUUUGCGCAAUGGGCGAAAGCCUGACGCAGCAACGCCGCGUGAUUGAAGAAGCCCUUCGGGGUGUAAAGAUCUGUCAGUGGGGACGAAACUUGACGGUACCCACAGAGGAAGCAUCGGCUAACUCCGUG
RNAcentral lists this ribosomal RNA (458 nucleotides) under uncultured bacterium. RNAcentral's name for it is "bacterial SSU rRNA". It matches the Rfam family "Bacterial small subunit ribosomal RNA", at positions 28 to 507 of the family's 1533-position model. The record is from RNAcentral.